Molecule: ribosomal RNA, 439 nt
Filed under: uncultured bacterium
Lineage: Bacteria
Description: partial 16S ribosomal RNA
Rfam family: Bacterial small subunit ribosomal RNA
Source: RNAcentral
CUACGGGGUGCUCCAGUGAGGAAUAUUGCACAAUGGGGGGAACCCUGAUGCAGCAACGCCGCGUGGAGGAUGACGCAUUUCGGUGUGUAAACUCCUUUUAUAUGUCAAGAAAAUGACGGUAGCAUAUGAAUAAGCACCGGCUAACUCCGUGCCAGCAGCCGCGGUAAUACGGAGGGUGCAAGCGUUGCUCGGAAUCACUGGGCGUAAAGGGCGCGUAGGCGGGUUGGAAAGUCAGGUGUGAAAUCCUACAGCUUAACUGUAGAACUGCACUUGAAACUUCUAAUCUAGAGUAUGGGAGGGGGAGAUGGAAUUAGUGGUGUAGGGGUAAAAUCCGUAGAUAUCACUAGGAAUACCUAAAGCGAAGGCGAUCUCCUGGAACAUUACUGACGCUAAGGCGUGAAGGCGUGGGGAGCAAAAAGGAUUAGAUACCCCUGUAGUC